CCCACCUAUUUACCAAAAACAUCACCUCUAGCAUACUAAGUAUUAGAGGCACUGCCUGCCCAGUGAGUAAACUUCAACAGCCGAGGUAUUCUGACCGUGCAAAGGUAGCAUAAUCACUUGUCUCCUAAAUAGAGAUUUGUAUGAAUGGCAUAACGAGG
RNAcentral lists this non-coding RNA (158 nucleotides) under Monodelphis domestica (gray short-tailed opossum). RNAcentral describes it as "Archaeal large subunit ribosomal RNA". It matches the Rfam family "Archaeal large subunit ribosomal RNA", at positions 1887 to 2086 of the family's 2987-position model. The record is from Rfam by way of RNAcentral. Lineage: Eukaryota; Metazoa; Chordata; Mammalia; Didelphimorphia; Didelphidae.